GACGAACGCUGGCGGCGUGCCUAAUACAUGCAAGUCGAGCGAGUCUGCCUUGAAGAUCGGAGUGCUUCUACUCUGUGAAACAAGAUACAGGCAAGUGGCGGACGGGUGCUGAAGACGUGGGUAACCUGCAGAAGAGGGUGGGAAAACCCCUGGAAACAGAUGCUAAUACCGGAUAUCAACAGAUGAUGCCUAUCAAUUGUUUAAAAGAAGGUUCUGCUAUCACUCUUGGAUGGACCUGCGGUGCAUUAGCUAGUUGGUAGGGUAACGGCUUACCAAGGCGACGAUGCAUAGCCGAGCUGAGAGGCUGAUCGGCCACAUUGGGACUGAGACACGGCCCAGACUCCUACGGGAGGCAGCAGUAGGGAAUCUUCCACAAUGGACGCAAGUCUGAUGGAGCAACGCCGCGUGAGUGAAGAAGGCCUUCGGGUCGUAAAGCUCUGUUGUUGGGGAAGAAGGACAGACGUAGUAACUGGCCUUUGUUUGACGGUAAUCAACGAGAAAGCCACGGCUAACUACGUG
RNAcentral lists this ribosomal RNA (519 nucleotides) under uncultured bacterium. RNAcentral's name for it is "partial 16S ribosomal RNA". It matches the Rfam family "Bacterial small subunit ribosomal RNA", at positions 28 to 507 of the family's 1533-position model. The record is from RNAcentral.